This 1313-nucleotide long non-coding RNA is filed under the name Monodelphis domestica (gray short-tailed opossum). RNAcentral's name for it is "lncRNA (ENSMODG00000046317.1)". Lineage: Eukaryota; Metazoa; Chordata; Mammalia; Didelphimorphia; Didelphidae. The record is from RNAcentral.
CCUGGAUGGAGAAAGCGUGAGGUCUGGUUCAGGGCUGAGGCCAGCUUGAAAGAGGAGCUGGCCAUAUGUGACUGGUACCUUCUCUUUCUCUGGUUGGUGUUUUUAAUUAUUUAAAACAUAAUUAUACAUUAAGAUACAGUCUCCAAAGGAUUUUAAUCAUAACAGUUAUAAGGUUGGUCACUAUUACAAAGUAGUUCAUGUUUACUGAAUUUAUGUAGUUUUUAAUUGUUUCUUGUGUUUAGUCUGGCUUCCUUGAGGAGGAAAGUUGGAAGGAGAAAGAAGGACAGGAAGAGUGAAGGGAGAAAGGACAGAAGAUAACUUGAUUUCCCUAAAACAUUUGAUAUAUAAGAACUACAACUUGAACUGUUACACUUCCUUACUUUGAAGAGAAUUCUUGGGCUAUAUGUAAUUGCCUAUAUGAGUCCAGUAAAGCUUGAUCUUUAUUGGUUUUCAAAUUGUUUAUCCUUUUCCCAACAAACCCUGUCCUGGCAGACAUUCUCCAGCAGGUGCAGAGUUAGUUCUCUCUCCCUGUGGGGUUAAGAGCAAAGGCAGCCAGACUGUUUAGUGGUUGGGAUGCUGCUGCCUAGCAACGGAACUCAAGUUGUGAUUCCCAAGGAGAAUACUGAUAAUCAGGAAGAAAGGAAUAAGCUGAAUUCAGCAGCUUCUCUCUAGUGGUAGGAACUGGAUUCAUCAGGGCAACUUUCCUAAUAGGAGAGAAAAAGAAAUGGGUCAACGUGGAGCAUGGAUGGAGGAAAGAUCUCCUUUGUUUUGCAAUAUCAUCAGUUACAUAUAACAGUCUCAUACCAAAGGAGUUGGGAAGUUGAUCCCAGUGCAUGGUACCCCUGGAUGGUUCCCAAGAGUGAGCAUCUCUCAUUUAUAACUCCUCAGCUCACUAUACCCUUCCACCAGAAUGAUCCCUAGAUUCUUGGUGACAUUUUUAGACCCAACAUAAAUAGUUCUGAGGUUUAAUUUUUCUAGACACUUCUGCCAUGUUUUUUUUAAUGAUGGCAGUAAUAGAUUUUUUAAAAAAUAUCUCAGUCACAGUUGAAACAUUGCUACACCUGAAAAUGUUGUGACAAGUAUCCAUUAGCUUUAAAUGUCAUACAGCAGACUCAUGUAAAAUAUGAUAGUGGGUUUGUUUGCUAUUGUCAUUAAGUGAGAUAUUAUAACUUUGGGGACUUUGAUACUUUUGAAUGUGCAUUACAUGCUAUAUUACUGUUCUUUAUAAAAAAUGUUACUUUGUGAAAAUCAUUUGCUUGCACUCACAGUGGAUCAUGGCCAAGUUUGAAAAGGAAAUGGAUCUCAUUUCCUCU